RNAcentral lists this long non-coding RNA (1837 nucleotides) under Bos indicus x Bos taurus (hybrid cattle). RNAcentral describes it as "lncRNA (ENSBIXG00005003534.1)". The record is from RNAcentral. Lineage: Eukaryota; Metazoa; Chordata; Mammalia; Artiodactyla; Bovidae.
CUCAACUACCACUUGGGCAGAGCCCAACGUCUCCUUCAGUCCCGUCAGUCAGGCUGCCAAACAUCCCAACUGACAGCUGCAUCCUGUGUCUGAUACAGAACACCCCGGGCGCCUCGCAGCCUCGCUCCCCUUCCCUACCUCUUACUAAAGGGGAUUCUUCCCAAGCAUCCACUGUGCUGUAAAUUAAAUCUCUGCCCCUUGCAUUUUUAAACCGUCCACCCCCUAACCCUUACCGCCAGCUUCCCUCCAAAUCAGAAAACCCCAAACACCUGUAAAAUUAAUCGAAAGCACGCCAACACCUGAAGCAGCGCAAGCGGGAUCCACACCCGGGCAAGUCCUCUGUGGCUUUAGUGGUCGGGAAUAGCCCGUGCCUGACAUGGCCUCCUCUCCCCGCUCCGACCGUUUGACCCCCGAGCCCUGGAAUCCAGCCAAGGUCUCGGGGGCGCAGGGUCAACCUGGUCAGCGUCGGGGCGGCUCGGGGGCGCGGCUCGUCUCCCCUCAUCCCGCCCCAGCCCGCGCGCCCGCACCGUCGCCGCCGCCACCGCCUCCCGGGUGGGCCCUCGGAACAUCCCGCGCCGCGUCCUCCCCGCCCAGGCUCCCGCUUGCCCGCCCGCCGGAGCCCGGCCCGCGCCGCUGGCAGCCAUCAAGUGGCUCGUUAAGGAAAUGCAGGUGAGUGCGUGCGGCGGGGCGGCUGCCGCCGGAGACGUGGGGUGUGUGCCUGUCUGUUCGAGCGGGAGCAAGAGGGAGCGCGAGCGAGCGGGCCAGCGCGGGAGCGACCGGGAGAGGCUCACCGCCCCGGCUCCCCGCCCCGCCGCGCCCGCAGCCGGCAGCCCGAGCGCGUGGGGCAGCGCCUCGCCCUGACGGAGGACGGUCCCUCAGCUUCUCCGCCAGCCGCUCGUCGGCCUCCCCCGCCCCGCGCUCCCUCCCAGCCCGAGCCCUCCCGCUGCUCCUCCUCCUCAGCCUCCUCCCUCCUCGCGCCGCUGACAGGCAGCCUCCGCGGGGAGAGUGCAGGUACUUUGCCUUCAGAAUAAUUUGCAGGACCCCGGCGAGCUUGCGGAGCGCCCAGAUUUUCUCUUGCCCUCGCCCCCUCCCUCCCGAAAAGAAGAUCCCACUUUUGAAACAAGCAGAACCCCCGAAGCAGGAGCAGCAGACCAAAGCCAGAGCCCGACGGGCGGCUGUGCAUGUGCUGUCCUUUCUUGCAGUUUAUUCUGGGCCUGUGUGGAAUAGAAAGACAAUUCUUUAUUUGACUGGAAGGAGAGAAAAGAGAAGACUCCUCAGGGUUUCCAAGGAAGACUGGAGCGGCUGCUUUAGUGAGAGAUGGAGCUGAAAUUGCCAGCUACAGCUAUCAAGACCAUCCCCAAGAAAAAGAAAUGCAAAAUAGCAAAAUGGCUGUCUGAGGAGGCUUUACAAAUAGCUAUGAAAAGAAGAGAAGUGAAAAGCAAAGGAGAAAAGGAAAGAUAUACCCAUUUGAAUGCAGAGUUCCAAAGAAUAACAAGGAGAGAUAAGAGCUUUCCUCAGUGAUCACUGCAAAGAAAUAGAGGAAAACAACAGAAUGGGAAAGACUAGAGAUCUCUUCAAGAAAAUGAGAGAUACCAAGGGAACAUUUCAUGCAAAGAUGGGCUCGAUAAAGGACAGAAAUGGUAUGGACCUAACAGAAGCAGAAGAUAUUAAGAAGAGGUGGCAAGAAUACACAGAAGAACUGGACAAAAAAGUAAUUCGAAACCCAGAUAAUCAUGAUGCUGUGAUCAUUCACCUAAGCCAGACAUCCUGGAGUGUGAAGUCAAGUAGGCUUUAGGAAGCAUCACUACAAAUAAACUAGAGGAGGAGUGGAAUUCCA